RNAcentral lists this ribosomal RNA (227 nucleotides) under uncultured bacterium. RNAcentral's name for it is "partial 16S ribosomal RNA". It matches the Rfam family "Bacterial small subunit ribosomal RNA", at positions 524 to 750 of the family's 1533-position model. The record is from RNAcentral.
UACGUAGAGUGCAAGCGUUGUCCGGAAUUAUUGGGCGUAAAGAGCUCGUAGGCGGUCUGUCGCGUCUGCUGUGAAAACUCAGGGCUUAACCCUGAGCUUGCAGUGGGUACGGGCAGACUAGAGUGCGGUAGGGGAGACUGGAAUUCCUGGUGUAGCGGUGAAAUGCGCAGAUAUCAGGAGGAACACCGGUGGCGAAGGCGGGUCUCUGGGCCGUAACUGACGCUGAG